UACGGGAGGCAGCAGUGGGGAAUAUUGCACAAUGGGCGCAAGCCUGAUGCAGCCAUGCCGCGUGUAUGAAGAAGGCCUUCGGGUUGUAAAGUACUUUCAGUCGUGAGGAAGGUGUUAAGGUUAAUAACCUUAGCAAUUGACGUUAGCGACAGAAGAAGCACCGGCUAACUCCGUGCCAGCAGCCGCGGUAAUACGGAGGGUGCGAGCGUUAAUCGGAAUUACUGGGCGUAAAGGGCACGCAGGCGGUUAAUAAGUUGGAUGUGAAAUCCCCGGGCUUAACCUGGGAAUGGCAUUCAAGACUGGUUAGCUAGAGUCUUGUAGAGGGGGUAGAAUUCCAUGUGUAGCGGUGAAAUGCGUAGAGAUGUGGAGGAAUACCGGUGGCGAAGGCGGCCCCUGGGACAAAGACUGACGCUCAUGUGCGAAAGCGUGGGGAGCAAACAGGAUUGAUACC
RNAcentral lists this ribosomal RNA (451 nucleotides) under uncultured bacterium. Its description in RNAcentral is "bacterial SSU rRNA". It matches the Rfam family "Bacterial small subunit ribosomal RNA", at positions 340 to 786 of the family's 1533-position model. The record is from RNAcentral.